Molecule: unclassified non-coding RNA, 439 nt
Filed under: fungal sp.
Lineage: Eukaryota; Fungi
Description: partial internal transcribed spacer region
Rfam family: Eukaryotic small subunit ribosomal RNA (bases 1-46)
Source: RNAcentral
AAGUCGUAACAAGGUUUCCGUAGGUGAACCUGCGGAAGGAUCAUUAACAUCGUGCGGCAACGCAAGUUGCCUAAACACGUCAUAUCAUUGCGAACCGUUCUCUUUUUUUUUCCUGCCGUUGGUGUAGAGUGAUGCGUGAGGGAAGGGUGUGAACUGUGUGUGUGUGUAUGUGUGGUUUACCAUUACUAACUACAUGCAGUUCUAACUCACAAGUCUACCAGUUCUCGAAACUGGAACUCGCACUAGCGGUAGCAGAUGAAUUUCGGCUGCGGGCCCGCGCCUUGGACUGCAGUUCGGAGUGCCCCUUUCUUUACAUUGUAAUUCAGACUGAACCCUGACGUUUGUACGAAUUCCUGGCUCUUUUGAGUCGGUUGAGUUUGUCCUUUCGUCGUAAAACAAAAACAAUAAACAACUCUUAGCAACGGAUAUCUUGGUUCUC